UCCGGCCAUAUCACGUUGAAACACCGUAUGAUCCCCGAAGUUAAGCAACAUCAAGCCUGGUCAGUACCUAGAUGGGUGACCACUUGUGAAUACCAAUUGCUGUAAG
Molecule: non-coding RNA, 106 nt
Organism: Acanthosepion pharaonis
Lineage: Eukaryota; Metazoa; Mollusca; Cephalopoda; Sepiida; Sepiidae
Source: the annotation of a GenBank genome assembly